This 499-nucleotide ribosomal RNA is filed under the name uncultured bacterium. RNAcentral describes it as "bacterial SSU rRNA". It matches the Rfam family "Bacterial small subunit ribosomal RNA", at positions 28 to 534 of the family's 1533-position model. The record is from RNAcentral.
GACGAACGCUGGCGGCGUGGAUUAGGCAUGCAAGUCGAACGGUAUCAUCCUUUCGGGGAUGAGAGAGUGGCGAACGGGUGAGUAACACGUAGGUGAUCUACCCUCAAGACGGGGACAACCCAGGGAAACUUGGGCUAAUACCGGAUGUGAGCUAUCGUGAGAUAGUUUGAAAGGUGGCUUCGGCUGCCGCUUGAGGAUGAGCCUGCGUCCUAUUAGCUAGUUGGUGAGGUAACGGCUCACCGAGGCAGUGAUAGGUAGGCGGCCUUAACGGGUGGUCGCCCACACUGGGAUUGAGAUACGGCCCAGACUCCUACGGGAGGCAGCAGUCGAGAAUAGUCUACAAUGGUCGAAAGACUGAUAGUGCGACGCCGCGUGAACGAAGAAGCCCUUCGGGGUGUAAAGUUCUUUUGCAGGGGAGAAAUAACCGAAUGGGAUGAUAGUACUCUGCGAAUAAGUCCCGGCUAACUACGUGACAGCAGCCGCGGUAAUCUGUAGUCGU